AUGCGAAAUAAAUAAAAGACAUAAAUAAGAUGCAAGAAAGUCAAGUCUUUUAUUGCAUGAUAAGAAAAAAAUAUAAAAAAUGGAGAAAUAAAAACACUGUCAUUACAAGUAUUCUAGCGAUUUCCUGAGACAUAGAGAACUAACCGGCCAUGGGAAGAUUCUUCAUUGCAAUCUGCAUCUUGAACUCUGAAGAUUCUUUGCCACAGACUUGGAGAAGAUCUUCAGCAGUAGGAGUAGGAGAUUUGGUGGAGAAUAGGUUGAGGAAAGUAGAUUUUAAAAAGAAAAGGAAGGAAUAGGUUACUGAAAUUUUUGGUGGAAGAGAGAAAGAGGGGAGAUAGAGGCAUGGAGAUGAUCCCCACAAGGGGGCUGAUGAGAUGUUUAGGGCCAGAUGGAGAUGGAUG
This 401-nucleotide long non-coding RNA is filed under the name Elaeis guineensis (African oil palm). RNAcentral describes it as "long non-coding RNA (EGUI_LNC017091)". The record is from RNAcentral. Lineage: Eukaryota; Viridiplantae; Streptophyta; Magnoliopsida; Arecales; Arecaceae.